AUGGACGCAACACGGCCGUUAGAUUUGGUUAAUGCCUCGCUGAAUGCCACUGCUGCUUUGUCCUCAAGUUGCCGCAACGCCCGGAUGCGUGAGCGCGAAGGUGGCAAUCCUCGCAGCGCAACCGCCGCUGCGGCCCGCUCCAUUGCAGGGCCACCGGCAGCAGCGCCGCCACCCGCUCCAUUGCAUCGUCGCUGGAAGCAACGCCCCUCCAUUGCAUCGUCGUCGCCGCGCCGCCGGAAGCAGCGCCACCGCUCGCUCCAUUGCAGCUGCAUUGCAGAGUCGCCGCCCGUUACAUUGCAGCGCCGUCAGAAGCAGCGCCGCUCCAUUGCAGGAUCGUCGUCGGGCCGCCGGAAGCAGCGCCGCUCCAUUGCAGGAUCGUCGUCGCGCCACCGGAAGCAGCGCCGGCGUACUCGACGUGUUGCGCCACGGGCAGCAACGCCCGCUCCAUUGCAGCGUUCCCGACCUUGUAUGAAACGCCGAUGA
RNAcentral lists this ribosomal RNA (483 nucleotides) under Triticum aestivum (bread wheat). RNAcentral's name for it is "partial small subunit ribosomal RNA". The record is from RNAcentral. Lineage: Eukaryota; Viridiplantae; Streptophyta; Magnoliopsida; Poales; Poaceae.